This 253-nucleotide ribosomal RNA is filed under the name uncultured bacterium. RNAcentral's name for it is "partial 16S ribosomal RNA". It matches the Rfam family "Bacterial small subunit ribosomal RNA", at positions 524 to 776 of the family's 1533-position model. The record is from RNAcentral.
UACGGGGGGGGCAAGCGUUGUUCGGAAUUACUGGGCGUAAAGGGCUCGUAGGUGGCCAACUAAGUCAGACGUGAAAUCCCCAGGCUUAACCUGGGAACUGCGUCUGAUACUGGAUGGCUUGAAUUCGGGAGAGGGAUGCAGAAUUCCAGGUGUAGCGGUGAAAUGCGUAGAUUUCUGGAGGAAUACCGGUGGCGAAGGCGGCAUCCUGGACCGAGAUUGACACUGAUGAGCGAAAGCCAGGGGAGCAAACGGG